GUACCACUUGUUGUAGUAGAAAGAAAGAAGAAAUAGGAUAGACACAAUCAAAUACAUAGAUUAGACCAAGAUCUAACUCAUAGGGCAUGCAAACUUCACUAUGAGAGAAAAUAACAAGUACAAGAGGAGAUCUCACACUCUCAACUCUCAUAUACAAAUCUCUCUCAGUAAGAAGCACUCAUCCUCACAAAAACUCUCACAAAAUCCCAAGGAGACCCUCUCACAUGCCUGCCAUAACAAGGUUCUUGACACUUCUGAUUGCUUUCUGUGAUCUAAGCCACUACAUCAUGCCUCAGCCUCUAUCCCUACUCUCAUGGCUACUCCCACGACUGUUAAAAGACACUCACGACUGGUGUUAAUGCCCCACCAUAGCUGCUUAUGCCAAGCUACUCCUGGUUGGUCUGCCUGCUGCUUAUACCAAGCCACUUCUCAGCCUCUACCACAACUGCUCAGGUCAAGCUGCUCCCGACUGCUUUGCUUGCUGCUUAUGCCAAGCCGCUCCUUAGCCUCUGCCGCAGCUACUAAUGCCAAGCUACUCUUGUUUGCUCCGCAACCAUCAGCCCUUUUUAUAGGGCCCAAACCCUCUCCAAAUCGAAAACUUACCUUUAGGACUCAAAUUACCUUCUUGCCCAUUGGAUCUUGACCGCUCACGUCCAUGGCUUCACAAUCAUGCAAAACACUACCCGAGUCUC
Molecule: long non-coding RNA, 692 nt
Filed under: Elaeis guineensis (African oil palm)
Lineage: Eukaryota; Viridiplantae; Streptophyta; Magnoliopsida; Arecales; Arecaceae
Description: long non-coding RNA (EGUI_LNC068523)
Source: RNAcentral